GGCUUAACCGUUACAAUUUAAUCCGUCGCAAUCCUUACAAUAAACCAUUAACACAGUUAUGUUUUAUCAUACAUAUUUGAUAUUAGUGACCUUGCAAUAGUAGUUAAGUUUUCAUAUAUAUUUUUUAUAUUUGCAUAAAUGUAAAUAUGCGAUAUUAAUGGUAGGAUACAUUCCCUCAGGAUUUUGAAGAACGGGAGGCCUGUAUCGGUUGGGGGGGGGCAUUCUUUUAGCCAUCCCGUCGAUAUUACAGGUCCGUUGGCGUAGCUGGGAGCCGGACGAAACGCGUUCCUUCGGAGUGGGCAGAGAGAGCAGGUUGACCCCGUCACGGCCCCCUGUAUCACCGUGGGGACUGCAGCCGCCUCAGCAAAAAACGACCGGGAGGUGGGAAGGGCACAGCACAUGGAGUGCCGUGGUCCUCAGAACAUGGGGUUACCAGGGUCAUCGGUGCUGAUCCUGGAUCGUGAGCUGAGCUGUUCCUGGGGCCGCUGCAAAGGGUAGUGGAUCGCACCCUGCGCUAUGGACCCAGUUACCAGAAUUUCAGUACCACUGACGGUCAACAGUCCUGGGUCUUCCGUGGGUCGACUCAAACUCAGAGGACCUCCAUAAACCACCCGCCUGGCGCCGCUUCUGCAUCGUCCACGGCCCUCGGCUGCAGCAUUACACAUGGGUAAAGUGCGGUGAGGCCUUCCAAGAUGUUUGUCCGGAGCCAUGGUGGCUUGUCUUCCCUGUUCAUGGGACUGGCUUCACUGGCAUCAUCUACAGUCUGUGCUGGAAAGCUGCCAUAGAGCACAAAAAGAGAAGCAGAAGAAGAUGGUUUAGACAUUGAAGGUUUCACCCACCAGAAUGCAGCGUACAGCGCUUGUGCACUCAAGGCUUUCUAGGUUCCUGCACAAUGUUCUUACCUUCCAAGCUACGAUUACGACACACAUACCUCGACAUUGUCUCAGAAAGAUGGAUAUGCAUUUGAAGAUUCUUUAGUUAUUUUUUUCAUCACUGCCUUGUGGUAGGUGUAGAGAUAUCAUAGUGUGAACUGAUACUGCUGAGAUCCUAAUUUAUACGCCAGGUAGCUGAUUCAUCUUCUUGGUUCUUUCGUGACUUUACCGACUUUACCGAAAGAACCAAGAAGAUGAAUCCCUGCAGUCACGAAAGCUUUAAAUCAAAGGUAGCUGAUUGAGAUAAAACUGGGCUUUAAAGUGAAGCGAGUUUGUUUUAAUUAAAUCCUAGUUCUGAGAGUUAUGUGAUGGAAGUCAUAUAUGUUUCCAUGGACCAUUGUCUAACAUGGGGUGAUGCUGCAAGAGAAUGGGCAUGGAUGAAUAAUUUUGGAGCAUGAUGCUUAAUGCACAUGAGUUAAUUGUAUCAUCGAUGAAGCUUGAAAAUGUGUGCCAGACUGGCAAACGACACGUCAAUUAGUUGUGUGUAGCUACUAGAUAAGAGCUUUUUGUUUCAGUUUGUUUUUCUUCAAGUCGCUUUAACAUGAGGGACUGACUUUUCCAAAUUUUCCCCAAAAAGUUAUUUCUGCAAUGAUAUUUUUUUGUGACGAUAGGCCCACAGUGAUGACAUCACCUUUAUUGCGUUAUUGAAGAACAAAACACGAGGAUGUCUUCACAAUUCUGGCUAUUGACUGAUGAAGCUGGUUGUAAUCAGCGAAAUAUUGUUCUCCAAUGGUAAAUGUUGUGGGUUUACUCCAAAACACUGGUGUGCUGAAGUAGUCACGUACUGGAACAAACCUUGGCUGUGUGGGGUAGUGGUGGGUUUAACAACACAUUUAUAUUUAUUCAAUCUAUCCCAAAAAUACCUUUAUUAUGGACAUUGCUUUAUAUGCGGGGUAGAUAGGGAGGGGUGUGACAUGUGAACUCGCCUAACAAAGCGCCAUUAUAGAAGCCUUGCACCAAGACACAGCGAUCAGCCCCAUGGAACGCAGAACGGCCAUCAUAACGGUCUUGUAGACUGCGUCCACAGACAAGGAAGGAGCAAACCACAUUCAGCAAGUUAACCCCAGUAAAAUAUCAACAAAAUAUCAACUCUCAUUUCUAAUUAGUGAGGGUUAGGGACUUACAAAGUUAGGGUUUGGAGUUGGGGCUAUGUUAGGGUUUAGAGUUACAGAUAGGGUUUGGAGUUAAGGCUAGAGUAGGGUUUGGCAACUAAAAUAACAGCCAUUUUUGUCGAAUUCGUAAAAAUAUUUUUCAAUGCACAUGAAUACGAGAUGGUAUUUAAUAAAUAACUUUAUGACGCAAUUCUUUAAGGGCCACAUACCUUUCCUGAGCCACAGGUUUCCAACCCCUGUGGGACAGGGAUAAUGAUAUUUUUGGAUUGCACUCUCAUGUUCACGUCCUUUGGAUUGCACUCAUGUUCACGUCGUUUGGAUUGCUCUCUCAGGGUCCUAAUCUGUCAUUGACACUGCUGUUGUGCGCAUAUGCGGGCAUGAUACUCUUAUGCAGAGACGGAAGCUCAUGCUAAUCUCCCUCCCUAAUCCCUCUCUCCCUAAUAUCCCCCAUUAACAAAUCUGAAGUGCUUGCGUCCGUGGAUGGAAUUCCUUUCCAGCUCAGACCCCGCUUGCUUGCCAAUCGCCACAUAAAUUAACUGUGUUGUAACUGCUCUCUUGCUGGUUCAGCAGUUACACUGCUGGAUUAUAUUUUUUCCGCCUGAGGACGACCGCUUGUGUUGCGAUCGAAACGUUGUGAUUUAUUUUAUUUUAUACCUACGUGACUUUACCGAAAGAACCAAAAGAGUAUGGAUUCCUGCAGUCACGAAAGCUUCAAAUCAAGAUUGAUAAUGAUAUUCUUAUUACCUGGAGGUUUUUGGGCCACGUUAGGUGCCUGAAGGAUGGCCGUGGUGCUGGUUUGAGUGGAAGUCAUUGUGGUUGUCACGCUGCGCAUGCGCUUGAUCCAACCAAACAUUCCCAUCGCAGGCUCUGCUCCUGAAUGACCAACCGGCAGAACCAAUACGUCGUAGGGAUAGGUAUCUGUUGUGUCUUGACCCUCCAGAGCAACCCCGGACUCACUCCUUAAUCAGACCAGAGGCAGAGAAGCUUCAACAUGAACGAGUGCUUUACUGAACGACUCCGGGAAGUGGCCCCAAACCCCAGGGACAGCGGUCCUUUAUACAGUGAGGGAAAAAAGUAUUUGAUCCCCUGCUGAUUUUGUAUGUUUGCCCACUGACAAAGAAAUGAUCAGUCUAUAAUUUUAAUGGUAGGUUUAUAUGAACAGUGAGAGAUAGAAUAACAACAACAAAAUCCAGAAAAACGCAUGUCAAAAAUGUUAAAAAUGGAUUUGCAUUUUAAUGAGGGAAAUAAGUAUUUGACCCCUCUGCAAAACAUGACUUAGUACUUGGUGGCAAAACCCUUGUUGGCAAUCACAGAGGUCAGACAUUUCUUGUAGUUGGCCACCAGGUUUGCACACAUCUCAGGAGGGAUUUUGUCCCACUCUUUGCAGAUCUUCUCCAAGUCAUUAAGGUUUUGAGGCUGACAUUUGGCACUCGAACCUUCAGCUCCCUCCACAGAUUUUCUAUGGGAUUAAGGUCUGGAGACUGGCUAGGCCACUCCAGGACCUGAAUGUGCUUCUUCUUGAGCCACUUCUUUGUUGCCUUUUGCCGUGUGUUUUGGGUCAUUGUCAUGCUGGAAUACCCAUCCACGACCCAUUUUCAAUGCCCUGGCUGAGGGAAGGAGGUUCUCACCCAAGAUUUUACGGUACAUGGCCCCGUCCAUCGUCCCUUUGAUGCGGUGAAAUUGUCCUCUCCCCUUAGCAGAAAAACACCUCCAAAGCAUAAUGUUUCCACCUCCAUGUUUGACGGUGGGGAUGGUGUUCUUGGGGUCAUAGGCAGCAUUCCUCCUCCAAACACGGCAAGUUGAGUUGAUGUGUGUUACCAACUGUUUUAUUGGUGACUGGUCCCAGCUGCCUUGAGAUCAUUGACAAGGUCCUCCCGUGUAGUUCUGGGCUGAUUCCUCACUGUUCUCAUGAUCAUUGCAACUCCACGAGGUGAGAUCUUGCGUGGAGCCCCAGGCCGAGGGGAGAUUGACAGUUCCUUUGUGUUUCUUUCAUUUGCGAAUAAUCGCACCAACUGUUGUCACCUUCUCACCAAGCUGCUUGACGAUGGUCUUGUAGCACAUUCCAGUCUUGUGUAGGUCUACAAUCUUGUCCCUGACAUCCUUGGAGAGCUCUUUGGUCUUGGCCAUGGGGGAGAGUUUAGAAUCUGUUUGAUUAAUUGUUUCUGUGAACAGGUGUCUUUUUAUACAGGUAACAAGCUGAGAUUAGGAGCACCCCCUUUAAGAGUGUGCUCCUAAUCUCAGCUGAUUACCUGCAUAAAAGACACCUGGGAGCCAGAAAUCCUUCUGCUUGAGAGGGGGUCAAAUACUUAUUUCCCUCAUUAAAAUGCAAUUCAAUUUAUAAAAUUGUUGACAUGCGUUUUUCUGGAUUUUUGUUGUUAUUCUGUCUCUCAC
Molecule: long non-coding RNA, 4435 nt
Organism: Lethenteron reissneri (Far Eastern brook lamprey)
Lineage: Eukaryota; Metazoa; Chordata; Hyperoartia; Petromyzontiformes; Petromyzontidae
Source: RefSeq, a predicted model, not a curated record